CAGGGAAUAUUGCACAAUGGGCGAAAGCCUGAUGCAGCGACACCGCGUGCGGGAUGAAGGCCUUCGGGUUGUAAACCGCUUUCAGGAGGGACGAAAAUGACGGUACCUCCAGAAGAAGGCCCGGCUAACUACGUGCCAGCAGCCGCGGUAAUACGUAGGGGCCAAACGUUGUCCGGAUUUAUUGGGCGUAAAGGGCUCGUAGGCGGUUCAACAAGUCGGUCGUGAAAACCCGGGGCUCAACCCCGGGACGCCGGUCGAAACUGUUGUGACUAGGGUCCGGUAGAGGUGAGUGGAAUUCUCGGUGUAGCGGUGGAAUGCGCAGAUAUCGAGAGGAACACCAGUAGCGAAGGCGGCUCACUGGGCCGGUACCGACGCUGAGGAGCGAAAGCAUGGGGAGCGAACAGGAUUAGAUACCCUGGUAGUCCAUGCCGUAAACGAUGAACACUAGGUGUGGCGGAUUCAUUGACAUCUGCCGUGCCGUCGCUAACGCAUUAAGUGUUCCGCCUGGGGAGUACGGCCGCAAGGCUA
This 528-nucleotide ribosomal RNA is filed under the name uncultured bacterium. RNAcentral describes it as "bacterial SSU rRNA". It matches the Rfam family "Bacterial small subunit ribosomal RNA", at positions 355 to 896 of the family's 1533-position model. The record is from RNAcentral.